This 153-nucleotide non-coding RNA is filed under the name uncultured Mitsuokella sp. Lineage: Bacteria; Bacillati; Bacillota; Negativicutes; Selenomonadales; Selenomonadaceae. The record is from RNAcentral.
CAGGUGCCGCCUGCGGGCGGCUGAAAAGAGAAGCCGGUUGAAGGCCGGCGCGGUCCCGCCACUGUAAGGGGAGCGAAUCUGCAAGAAUGUCACUGGGGAAACCCGGGAAGGCGCAGAGAAGCGAUGAACCAAGCCAGGAGAACUGCCUGUCCG